This 470-nucleotide ribosomal RNA is filed under the name uncultured bacterium. Its description in RNAcentral is "bacterial SSU rRNA". It matches the Rfam family "Bacterial small subunit ribosomal RNA", at positions 8 to 521 of the family's 1533-position model. The record is from RNAcentral.
AGAGUUUGAUCCUGGCUCAGGAUGAACGCUGGCGGUAUGCUUAACACAUGCAAGUCGAACGAAAGUUUUUAACUUUAGUGGCGAACGGGUGCGUAAUACGUGAGAAUCUGCCCUUAGGAGGAGGAUAACUGCUGGAAACGGCUGCUAACACUCCAUAUGUCGAGAGAUGAAAUAAUUUAUUGCCUAAGAAUGAGCUCGCGCCUGAUUAGCUUGUUGGUGAGGUAAUGGCUCACCAAGGCCACGAUCAGUAGCUGGUUUGAGAGAACGAUCAGCCACACUGGGACUGAGACACGGCCCAGACUCCUCCGGGAGGCAGCAGUGAGGAAUUUUCCGCAAUGGGCGAAAGCCUGACGGAGCAAUACCGCGUGAGGGAUGAAGGAUUUUGGUCUGUAAACCUCUUUUCUCAAGAAAGAAGUUCUGACGGUACUUGAGGAAUAAGCAUCGGCUAACUCCGUGCCAGCCGCCGCGGU